AGGGCGCACGGUGGAUGCCUUGGCACUAGGAGCCGAAGAAGGACGUGACAAACGACGAUAUGCCUUGGGUAGCUGUAAGUAAGCGAUGAUCCAGGGAUUUCCGAAUGGGGGAACCCAACAGGUACUACCUGUUACCCAUAUCUGUUAAGGAUAUGAGGAGGAAGACGCAGUGAACUGAAACAUCUAAGUAGCUGCAGGAAGAGAAAGCAAAAGCGAUUGCCUUAGUAGCGGCGAGCGAAACGGCAGGAGGGCAAACCGAAGAGUUUACUCUUCGGGGUUGUAGGACUGCAAUGUGGACUCAAAGAUUAUAGAAGAAUGAUUUGGGAAGAUCAGCCAAAGAGAGUAAUAGCCUCGUAUUUAAAAUAGUCUUUGUACCUAGCAGUAUCCUGAGUACGGCGGGACACGUGAAAUCCCGUCGGAAUCUGGGAGGACCAUCUCCCAACCCUAAAUACUCCCUAGUGACCGAUAGUGAACCAGUACCGUGAGGGAAAGGUGAAAAGCACCCCGGGAGGGGAGUGAAAUAGAACCUGAAACCGUGUGCCUACAACAAGUUCGAGCCCGUUAAUGGGUGAGAGCGUGCCUUUUGUAGAAUGAACCGGCGAGUUACGAUAUGAUGCGAGGUUAAGUUGAAGAGACGGAGCCGUAGGGAAACCGAGUCUGAAUAGGGCGCAAUAGUAUCAUGACGUAGACCCGAAACCAUGUGACCUACCCAUGAGCAGGUUGAAGGUGCGGUAAGACGCACUGGAGGACCGAACCAGGGCACGUUGAAAAGUGCUUGGAUGACUUGUGGGUAGCGGAGAAAUUCCAAACGAACUUGGAGAUAGCUGGUUCUCUCCGAAAUAGCUUUAGGGCUAGCGUCGACAUAAAGAUUCUUGGAGGUAGAGCACUGUUUGGGUGAGGGGUCCAUCCCGGAUUACCAAUCUCAGAUAAACUCCGAAUGCCAAUGAAUUAUGGUCGGCAGUCAGACUGCGAGUGCUAAGAUCCGUAGUCGAAAGGGAAACAGCCCAGACCACCAGCUAAGGUCCCAAAAUAAUUGUUAAGUGGAAAAGGAUGUGGGGUUGCACAGACAACUAGGAUGUUAGCUUAGAAGCAGCUAUUCAUUCAAAGAGUGCGUAAUAGCUCACUAGUCGAGUGACCCUGCGCCGAAAAUGUACCGGGGCUAAAACAAUUUACCGAAGCUGUGGAUACCUUUAUAGGUAUGGUAGGAGAGCGUUCUAUGUGUGGAGAAGGUGUACCGUGAGGAGCGCUGGAACGCAUAGAAGUGAGAAUGCCGGUAUGAGUAGCGAAAGACAGGUGAGAAUCCUGUCCACCGUAAGACUAAGGUUUCCAGGGGAAGGCUCGUCCGCCCUGGGUUAGUCGGGACCUAAGGAGAGACCGAAAGGUGUAUCCGAUGGCCAACAGGUUGAGAUUCCUGUACUAGAGUAUGAAGUGAUGGAGGGACGCAGUAGGCUAACUCGUGCGUACGAAUGGAUGUACGUCUAAGCAGUGAGGCGUGGUAUGAGUCAAAUGCUUAUACCUGUAACGUUGAGCUGUGAUGGGGAGCGAAGUUUAGUAGCGAAGUUAGUGAUGUCACACUGCCAAGAAAAGCUUCUAGCGAUGUAUCAUACUCUACCCGUACCGCAAACCGACACAGGUAGUCGAGGCGAGUAGCCUCAGGUGAGCGAGAGAACUCUCGUUAAGGAACUCGGCAAAAUGACCCCGUAACUUCGGGAGAAGGGGUGCUGACUUUAGGUCAGCCGCAGUGAAUAGGCCCAAGCAACUGUUUAUCAAAAACACAGCUCUCUGCUAAAUCGUAAGAUGAUGUAUAGGGGGUGACGCCUGCCCGGUGCUGGAAGGUUAAGAGGAGUGCUUAGGAGUAAUCCGAAGGUAUGAAUUGAAGCCCCAGUAAACGGCGGCCGUAACUAUAACGGUCCUAAGGUAGCGAAAUUCCUUGUCGGGUAAGUUCCGACCCGCACGAAAGGCGUAAUGAUUUGGGCACUGUCUCAACGAGAGACUCGGUGAAAUUUUAGUACCUGUGAAGAUGCAGGUUACCCGCGACAGGACGGAAAGACCCCAUGGAG
Molecule: ribosomal RNA, 2060 nt
Filed under: human metagenome
Description: bacterial LSU rRNA
Rfam family: Bacterial large subunit ribosomal RNA
Source: RNAcentral